UACGUAGGUGCGAGCGUUGUCCGGAAUUAUUUGGGCGUAAAGAGCUUGUAGGCGGUUUGUCGCGUCUGCUGUGAAAAUCCGGGGCUCAAACCCCGGACUUGCAGUGGGUACGGGCAGACUAGAGUGUGGUAGGGGAGACUGGAAUUCCUGGUGUAGCGGUGAAAUGCGCAGAUAUCAGGAGGAACACCGAUGGCGAAGGCAGGUCUCUGGGCCACUACUGACGCUGAGAAAGCGAAAGGCAUGGGGAGCGAACAGGAUUAGAUA
RNAcentral lists this ribosomal RNA (264 nucleotides) under uncultured prokaryote. Its description in RNAcentral is "partial 16S ribosomal RNA". It matches the Rfam family "Bacterial small subunit ribosomal RNA", at positions 524 to 784 of the family's 1533-position model. The record is from RNAcentral.